Molecule: transfer RNA, 73 nt
Filed under: Camelus bactrianus (Bactrian camel)
Lineage: Eukaryota; Metazoa; Chordata; Mammalia; Artiodactyla; Camelidae
Also listed under: 2 other names
Rfam family: tRNA
About the family: Transfer RNA (tRNA) molecules are approximately 80 nucleotides in length. Their secondary structure includes four short double-helical elements and three loops (D, anti-codon, and T loops).
Source: Rfam by way of RNAcentral
AAAGGUGUAGCUCAGUUUGUAGAGUGCUUGCUUAGCAUGCAUGAGGUCCUGGGUUCAAUCCCCAGUACCUCCA